RNAcentral lists this long non-coding RNA (1859 nucleotides) under Gossypium barbadense (sea-island cotton). Its description in RNAcentral is "long non-coding RNA (GBAR_LNC003523)". The record is from RNAcentral. Lineage: Eukaryota; Viridiplantae; Streptophyta; Magnoliopsida; Malvales; Malvaceae.
AUUUUAAAUCAGGUUUAUAUUUAUUUAUAAUUUGGCCCUGAACUUUGUCGCGCUUUUCAAUUUAGUCCCUGGCCAAGCUCAACGUUUUAAAGGCUUGGGAAAAUUGCUUUUUUGGCCCCCCACUGUUUCACACGUGUUCAAAUUAGCCCUUUUUCUUUUUUUAUUUAUUUUAAAAUCACCCCAAAACUUCGUUUUUGUUUCAAUUUUAGUCCUUUUUUAUAUUUUUAAGUUUAUUUUCAUAUUAUCCUUGCUAUUUUAUUUAUUUUUAAUAUUAUUAUAUUAUUCUCAUGAUUAUCAUUUUUAUUGUGGUUAUUUUUAUUCCUUUUAUAAUUUAUUAUUAUAUUAUUACUAUAGUUACUAUUACUAUUUCUAAUAUAUAUUACGUACAUAGUUUCCUAUAUUAUAAUAUAUUUAUAUAAUAUUAUUAAUAAGUUGUUUUUUAACAUUAUUAGUGUAAAUAGGCCAAUUUACCCGGGCCCACUAGAAACCCAAAUAUAUAAUAAAUAAAUAAAUAUGUAUAUUAAAAACCCAACAAAUAUUAUAACAGUCCAUUAAUGUCCUAUCAAGCCCAAAGACCCAAAACAGUCCUUCUAGCCCAAAUCUAGUGGCCCAAUACUUAAAAUGAACCUAAGUGGCCCAAAAGACUUCAGCAACCCUAGGUCAUCCCUCCCUCAUUUGCGCCGCAACCCUCUGCAGCCUCCAGCAACCACGCCAAGUCUCCGUACGCCAGCAUGGCUCCCGUACACACGCCAGCACGCACCCGUACCUGCAAGAAGACAAACAAACACAACAGCAAAUGAAAAUAAAAGAAAAUAUUGUAUUUUUUAUCGAUUUGAUUUUCCUUUUUUUUCUUCUUCGGCUAUAAAGCCGAAAGUUCCAUCCUUGUAAUCGACACACGCAAAAAGGCAAUACAAGAAAAGAGAAGACCACCUAUAUUCGAAGGUGAUUUUUCGAUUUAUAUUUGCGGGCGUUCCUCUUUUUUUCUUUCGAUUGUUCUUUGUUUUGUUUUUUUUUUCUCGAAAGUAAAUAAAGCGAAGAGGAGGGGACUUACCUUCGCGUAUGAGCCAUCGGAGACCACAUCUCCUUCGCUAAAAAUUGAAAUCGGAGAAGGGAUUUCAGGGGCCGAAAUCGAUAGCCUUUAGGCCAAGGUUCCAAGCGAGUGGCGCACAUGCGGUUCUCCCCCGUUCGCAGUGGUGGCGGUUGGACUGCACGGAUCCUUGGAUUCCGCCGAGUGGAGAAGGGGGCGUAUGGCUUCCUUUUGCUUUUGGUUCUAAAAGAACCAAGAAUCUUAGUCUUAGGGUUUUCUUUUUAGUUUUAAGGACAGACACAAAACGGUACUGUUUAGAGUCUGUUUGGUGGCUCAAAAACAGUGUCGUUUAAGCUAAAUCGUCUCGACCCGACCCGAUGGUUCCUAUGACCCACGUGUUUUGGGCGGUGAGGGUUUUAUUGCACUAUCGGUCCUUCCCCUUUUACAUUGGGUGCAAAUCGGCUCUUAUUCGUAUUGCAUUUUUUAAAAUUCGGCCCGGUUGUUUGCGCGUGUUUUCAUUUUGGUCCAUGCCUCAGUGUUGCGUUUUGGGGUCUGGAUUAUUUCCAGACUUGGUCCUUGCGCCUUCAUACACGUUACACACCGGUCCCCUUUUUUUAAUAGUUCAUUGCUUCAUAAUUUCCCCUUUUCAUUUUUAUUCUAUUUUAAUUGGAUUUCCUUCUAAUUUAUUUUAUGGUCCAUCAUUUUUAAAAUACAUCCAACACCUUUUGAUUUUCGUUAUUUGCUUUUUUUGUGUUUUAAAUUAAUUUAAUGAUCGCCAUCAUAAUGUCUCCAUAUUAUCAUACACAUAGAUGUAUACAUAUUUUAUGAUAAA